This 675-nucleotide ribosomal RNA is filed under the name Inocybe lacera. Its description in RNAcentral is "eukaryotic LSU rRNA". It matches the Rfam family "Eukaryotic large subunit ribosomal RNA", at positions 1 to 653 of the family's 3401-position model. The record is from RNAcentral. Lineage: Eukaryota; Fungi; Basidiomycota; Agaricomycetes; Agaricales; Inocybaceae.
UUGACCUCAAAUCAGGUAGGACUACCCGCUGAACUUAAGCAUAUCAAUAAGCGGAGGAAAAGAAACUAACAAGGAUUCCCCUAGUAACUGCGAGUGAAGCGGGAAAAGCUCAAAUUUGAAAUCUGGCAGUUCUUUUGACUGUCCGAGUUGUAAUCUAGAGAAGUGUUACCUGUGCUGGACCAUGUACAAGUCUUCUGGAAUGGGGCAUCAUAGAGGGUGAGAAUCCCGUCUUUGACAUGGACUACCAGUGCACUGUGGUGCGCUCUCAAAGAGUCGAGUUGUUUGGGAAUGCAGCUCAAAAUGGGUGGUAAAUGCCAUCUAAAGCUAAAUAUUGGCGAGAGACCGAUAGCGAACAAGUACCGUGAGGGAAAGAUGAAAAGAACUUUGGAAAGAGAGUUAAACAGUACGUGAAAUUGCUGAAAGGGAAAYGCUUGAAGUCAGUCACGUUGGCUAGAAAUCAGCCUUGCUUUUGCUUGGUGUACUUUCUGGUUUGACGGGUCAGCAUCGAUUUCUUUGACCAUUGGAUAAAGUCUUUGGGAAUGUGGCAUCUUUGGAUGUGUUAUAGCCCAUUGUYGCAUAYGAUGGUUGGGAUCGAGGAACUCAGCACGCCGCAAGGCCGGGUUUAUACCACGUUCGUGCUUAGGAUGCUGGCAUAAUGGCUUUAAUCGACCCGUC